UUGGGCAUCGAGCUUAAUCUCCCAACCCAUGUGAACGUUACCAAACUGUUGCCUCGGCGGGGUCACGCCCCGGGUGCGUCGCAGCCCCGGAACCAGGCGCCCGCCGGAGGAACCAACCAAACUCUUUCUGUAGUCCCCUCGCGGACGUAUUUCUUUACAGCUCUGAGCAAAAAUUCAAAAUGAAUCAAAACUUUCAACAACGGAUCUCUUGGUUCUGGCAUCGAUGAAGAACGCAGCGAAAUGCGAUAAGUAAUGUGAAUUGCAGAAUUCAGUGAAUCAUCGAAUCUUUGAACGCACAUUGCGCCCGCCAGUAUUCUGGCGGGCAUGCCUGUCCGAGCGUCAUUUCAACCCUCGAACCCCUCCGGGGGAUCGGCGUUGGGGAUCGGGACCCCUCACACGGGUGCCGGCCCCUAAAUACAGUGGCGGUCUCGCCGCAGCCUCUCCUGCGCAGUAGUUUGCACAACUCGCACCGGGAGCGCGGCGCGUCCACGUCCGUAAAACACCCAACUUUCUGAAAUGUUGACCUCGGAUCAGGUAGGAAUACCCGCUGAACUUAAGCAUAUCAAUAGGCCGGGAGGAA
Molecule: ribosomal RNA, 580 nt
Filed under: Trichoderma asperellum
Lineage: Eukaryota; Fungi; Ascomycota; Sordariomycetes; Hypocreales; Hypocreaceae
Description: eukaryotic LSU rRNA
Rfam family: 5.8S ribosomal RNA (bases 189-342)
Source: RNAcentral